This 75-nucleotide transfer RNA is filed under the name Vibrio astriarenae. RNAcentral describes it as "tRNA-Gly". It matches the Rfam family "tRNA". Rfam says of the family: Transfer RNA (tRNA) molecules are approximately 80 nucleotides in length. Their secondary structure includes four short double-helical elements and three loops (D, anti-codon, and T loops). Lineage: Bacteria; Pseudomonadati; Pseudomonadota; Gammaproteobacteria; Vibrionales; Vibrionaceae. RNAcentral also lists the same sequence under 1 other name. The record is from RNAcentral.
GCGUACAUCGUAUAAUGGCUAUUACCUCAGCCUUCCAAGCUGAUGAUCCGGGUUCGAUUCCCGGUGUACGCUCCA